RNAcentral lists this ribosomal RNA (261 nucleotides) under Providencia rettgeri. RNAcentral's name for it is "partial 23S ribosomal RNA". It matches the Rfam family "Bacterial large subunit ribosomal RNA", at positions 2108 to 2368 of the family's 2925-position model. Lineage: Bacteria; Pseudomonadati; Pseudomonadota; Gammaproteobacteria; Enterobacterales; Morganellaceae. The record is from RNAcentral.
AGCUUGACACUGAACAUUGAGCCUUGAUGUGUAGGAUAGGUGGGAGGCUUUGAAGCGUGGACGCCAGUCUGCGUGGAGCCAACCUUGAAAUACCACCCUUUAAUGUUUGAUGUUCUAACGUUGCCCCGUUAUCCGGGGUGCGGACAGUGUCUGGUGGGUAGUUUGACUGGGGCGGUCUCCUCCCAAAGAGUAACGGAGGAGCACGAAGGUUGGCUAAGCAUGGUCGGACAUCAUGCGGUUAGUGCAAAGGCAUAAGCCAGC